Molecule: non-coding RNA, 79 nt
Organism: Potamilus streckersoni
Lineage: Eukaryota; Metazoa; Mollusca; Bivalvia; Unionida; Unionidae
Source: the annotation of a GenBank genome assembly
GAACUGUUCCAGUUGCCUAAGUGGUUAGAACGUCCGCCUCCGAUGCGGGAGGUCACGGGUUCUAAUCCCGUCCGAGUCA